This 423-nucleotide ribosomal RNA is filed under the name uncultured bacterium. RNAcentral describes it as "bacterial SSU rRNA". It matches the Rfam family "Bacterial small subunit ribosomal RNA", at positions 355 to 771 of the family's 1533-position model. The record is from RNAcentral.
UGGGGAAUAUUGGACAAUGGGCGAAAGCCUGAUCCAGCGACGCCGCGUGGGUGAAGAAGGCCUUCGGGUUGUAAAGCCCUUUAAGCCGGGACGAAAAAGCUACACCUAAUACGUGUGGCCUUGACGGUACCGGAAGAAUAAGCACCGGCUAACUCUGUGCCAGCCGCCGCGGUAAUACAGAGGGUGCAAGCGUUAAUCGGAUUUACUGGGCGUAAAGCGUGUGUAGGUGGCUAGCUAAGUCGGUUGUGAAAGCCCUGGGCUCAACCUGGGAAUUGCAGUCGAUACUGGCAAGCUCGAGUUCGGUAGAGGGCGGCGGAAUUCCCGGUGUAGCGGUGAAAUGCGUAGAUAUCGGGAGGAACAUCGAUGGCGAAAGCAACCGCCUGGGCCUGAACUGACACUGAGACACGAAAGCGUGGGGAGCAA